GCCUUCGUGGUGUAAUGGUCAGCACAUUCGGCGCGUAUUCGAGAAGUCCGUGGUUCGAGUCCCGGUGAAGGCA
This 73-nucleotide transfer RNA is filed under the name Stegodyphus mimosarum. It matches the Rfam family "tRNA". Rfam says of the family: Transfer RNA (tRNA) molecules are approximately 80 nucleotides in length. Their secondary structure includes four short double-helical elements and three loops (D, anti-codon, and T loops). The record is from Rfam by way of RNAcentral. Lineage: Eukaryota; Metazoa; Arthropoda; Arachnida; Araneae; Eresidae.